Molecule: long non-coding RNA, 373 nt
Organism: Eleginops maclovinus (Patagonian blennie)
Lineage: Eukaryota; Metazoa; Chordata; Actinopteri; Perciformes; Eleginopidae
Exons: 4
Source: RefSeq, a predicted model, not a curated record
GCGACUUCUUCGAAAUAUAAACACAACUGGCAGCUUUCAAAUCGAGACAUAGCUUUUUAAUGAACUCAAUUUACAUUUGGUAUGAAACUAUCUUUCCAUAUUCUGUGUAGUGUGGUGUGUCUGUUCACCUCCAUUGUCACCAGUCUGGUGCCAACAGGAAUGUUUCAGACCAAAUGUCUUGAACGUCAUUUCUGGCUUUCUGUCAAGUCCGGCUUCAUUGGCUCGAGGAUCCACUUUGACUUUGAAGAUCAGUAUGGAUUCCACUCCUUGUCUACCCAGGAGGCCACACUGUGUGGUUACAAUGUCCUGAUCAAUGAUGUUGGAGACUUGGUGUUUCGUGCCUCCUUCCUGGCCUGUCAUGUCCACAGCGAGG